AUCUAUGACCAUACCACCCUGAACGCACCCAAUCUUGUCUGAUCUUGGAAGCUAAGCAGGGUCAGGCCUGGUUAGUACUUGGAUGGGAGACGAGACUCUGCUUCAAAGAGU
Molecule: ribosomal RNA, 111 nt
Filed under: Nannospalax galili (Upper Galilee mountains blind mole rat)
Lineage: Eukaryota; Metazoa; Chordata; Mammalia; Rodentia; Spalacidae
Source: RNAcentral